GACGAGGGAUCCUAGCGUUGUUCGGAAUCAUUGGGCGUAAAGCGGGUGUAGGCGGACUUAUAAGUCAGGUGUGAAAUCCCAGGGCUCAACCCUGGAAGUGCACUUGAUACUGCAAGUCUUGAAUGUGGUAGAGGCUAUUAGAAUUCUUGGUGUAGUGGUGAAAUACGUAGAUAUCAAGAGGAAUACCGGAGGCGAAGGCGGAUAGCUGGGCCAACAUUGACGCUGAGACCCGAAAGCGUGGGGAUCAAACAGG
This 253-nucleotide ribosomal RNA is filed under the name uncultured bacterium. RNAcentral's name for it is "partial 16S ribosomal RNA". It matches the Rfam family "Bacterial small subunit ribosomal RNA", at positions 524 to 776 of the family's 1533-position model. The record is from RNAcentral.